ACGGGCUUCGGUCUGGUGGCGAGUGGCGAACGGGUGAGUAAAGUAUCGGAACGUACCUUUCGGUGGGGGAUAACGUAGCGAAAGUUACGCUAAUACCGCAUAUUCUGUGAGCAGGAAAGCAGGGGAUCGCAAGACCUUGCGCUGAUUGAGCGGCCGAUAUCAGAUUAGCUAGUUGGUGGGGUAAAGGCCUACCAAGGCGACGAUCUGUAGCGGGUCUGAGAGGAUGAUCCGCCACACUGGAACUGAGACACGGUCCAGACUCCUACGGGAGGCAGCAGUGGGGAAUUUUGGACAAUGGGGGCAACCCUGAUCCAGCCAUGCCGCGUGAGUGAAGAAGGCCUUCGGGUUGUAAAGCUCUUUCGGCCGGGAAGAAAUCGCAUGGGCCAAUACCCUGUGUGGAUGACGGUACCGGAAUAAGAAGCACCGGCUAACUACGUGCCAGCAGCCGCGGUAAUACGUAGGGUGCGAGCGUUAAUCGGAAUUACUGGGCGUAAAGCGUGCGCAGGCGGUUUAGUAAGACAGGCGUGAAAUCCCCGGGCUCAACCUGGGAACUGCGCUUGUGACUGCUAAGCUAGAGUAC
Molecule: ribosomal RNA, 580 nt
Filed under: uncultured Dechloromonas sp.
Lineage: Bacteria; Pseudomonadati; Pseudomonadota; Betaproteobacteria; Rhodocyclales; Azonexaceae
Description: bacterial SSU rRNA
Rfam family: Bacterial small subunit ribosomal RNA
Source: RNAcentral